AAGUCGUAACAAGGUUUCCGUAGGUGAACCUGCGGAAGGAUCAUUAAUAAUUUGCUGAACCUAGCGUUAGCGAGGUUCUGCGAUCACUUAUAUUUAAAACCCAACUCUUAAAUUGUAUAAUUAUGUAUUUUUUUUUAAUAAAAAAGAUCACUUUCAACAACGGAUCUCUUGGCUCUC
Molecule: unclassified non-coding RNA, 177 nt
Filed under: Glomus sp.
Lineage: Eukaryota; Fungi; Glomeromycota; Glomeromycetes; Glomerales; Glomeraceae
Description: partial internal transcribed spacer region
Rfam family: Eukaryotic small subunit ribosomal RNA (bases 1-46)
Source: RNAcentral